UAGGGAAUCUUCGGCAAUGGACGGAAGUCUGACCGAGCAACGCCGCGUGAGUGAAGAAGGUUUUCGGAUCGUAAAGCUCUGUUGUUAGAGAAGAACGUUGGUAGGAGUGGAAAAUCUACCAAGUGACGGUAACUAACCAGAAAGGGACGGCUAACUACGUGCCGGCAGCCGCGGUAAUACGUAGGUCCCGAGCGUUGUCCGGAUUUAUUGGGCGUAAAGCGAGCGCAGGCGGUUCUUUAAGUCUGAAGUUAAAGGCAGUGGCUUAACCAUUGUACGCUUUGGAAACUGGAGGACUUGAGUGCAGAAGGGGAGAGUGGAAUUCCAUGUGUAGCGGUGAAAUGCGUAGAUAUAUGGAGGAACACCGGUGGCGAAAGCGGCUCUCUGGUCUGUAACUGACGCUGAGGCUCGAAAGCGUGGGGAGCAAACAGG
This 429-nucleotide ribosomal RNA is filed under the name Bacillota bacterium. RNAcentral's name for it is "Firmicutes bacterium partial 16S ribosomal RNA". It matches the Rfam family "Bacterial small subunit ribosomal RNA", at positions 355 to 776 of the family's 1533-position model. The record is from RNAcentral. Lineage: Bacteria; Bacillati; Bacillota.